This is a long non-coding RNA of Symphalangus syndactylus (siamang), 544 nucleotides long. RefSeq lists it as uncharacterized. NCBI's taxonomy places the organism in Eukaryota, Metazoa, Chordata, Mammalia, Primates, Hylobatidae. The record is from RefSeq and is a predicted model, not a curated record.
CCGUGUUCUGGAACCCGAGGUCUGCUGCUGGAAGCCUCCAAGCUGCAUCUGAAAAAUGAGCACUGUGACAAUAACCAAACUGCAAAGAGUUGUAAAGAUUACAUGACCUAAUAUAUUUAAAGUACUUAGAAGAGUACCCAGCACACACUCGUGGCAACUACCAUUCUACUUUCUAUCAUUAUGAAUCUGAUACUCUGGGUACCUAAUUCUGCUUUGAAGUUUUUCAAGACAGGAACAACUAUGGACAGAGCACAGACAAACAGGCCAUAAACAAGGAUUCUCUCUAUGUAGAGGGAAGAGGUUCCCAUGAUGUGAAUUCGGCCAAGCAGAAAAGAAUGGAGAAAGGAGACAACAUCCAGACCUGACCCUGCCAGAGAUCCCUGAGAGCAGGCGAAGAGAAUGAAGGAGCCCGGGCUCCUCCCUCGCGGCCCAGGCCUCCUGUGGCAACUCAGCUGGGCAACGUGACUCAGGAAAGCACGGGGCUGGCGGCGGCCUAGCAAGGCUGCCUCCCCGGACCUCCCAGGCCUGCCUUCUGGGUCUUACC